AUGGUAAAAGGGGAAUUCAAGCACACAAAAGAUAAAGCGAGGAAAAGAAUGAAUGAUUGGACAGAAAAAUAUUCUUCCAGUGGAGCUAAGGAGACACUAAUUAAAUCAGUGGCCCAAGCGAUUCCCACUUCUGCAAUGAGUGUUUUCAAGUUCUCAGCAACCCUCUAUGAGGAGCUCAUGCACAUGACCAGAGACUUUUGGUGGGGAGAUGAUGAAGAUCGCCGACGUAUUCAUUGGUUGAGUUGGGAGAAACUUACAAAACGUAAAAGCCAAGGAGGUAUGGGAUUCAAAGAUCUUAAAGUUUUUAACCAGGCUCUUCUCGCUAGGCAAGCCUGGCGACUGAUUGCACAUCCUGACAGCUUGUGCGCGAGAGUACUUAAGGCAAAAUAUUACCAUGGGGCUGAUCUGCUAGACACGGCGUUUAUUCAAAAUGCAUCGCCGGGUUGGCAGGGCAUCAUGCAUGGUUUGGAACUCCUUAAAAAAGGAUGUAUUUGGCGCAUCUGCAACGGAAAUAGUGUCCGCAUUUGGAGAGAUAAUUGGAUCCCGAGAGGAAACAUGAAAAUAAACACGAACCCAACAAGGUCCCGAACUCGGUGGGUAGCAGACCUCAUCGACCAGGAGAGUCACACUUGGAAGGAGGACUAUAUCAUGCGUAUAUUUACACGCGAAGACGCAAAUGAUAUUUUAAGUAUCCGACUACCAAAUUAUGAUGAUGAGGAUUAUAUUGCGUGGCAGCCUGAAAAAAAUGGAAUUUUCAGUGUUCGUAGCGCAUAUCGGUUAGCCAUGGACGAAAAGGGUUCUGUGGUGAUUGGGUCCAGCCACAAUACCCAAGGGGAUCGCAGUAUUUGGAAUAAUAUCUGGAAGACAAAUGUACCCCAAAAAGUACGUAUUUUUACAUGGAGACUAGCAACGGAGUCACUGGCGGUUCAAACUAAUAGAUUUCGUCGCAUCCCAGGCCUCACCCCGAUUUGUAAUGUAUGUGGGGCCGAGGAUGAAACAGGCUUCCAUAUGGCACAUCGAUGCACAUUUGCAAGGGCCUUGUGGCACGAACUCAAGGAGGUAUGGAACCUGCCCCCUGAGCAGGAAGUAGAAUAUACUGGAAGGGAUUGGGUCCUAAUCCUGCUAGAUAAGGUGAGUGAAGAUAUGAAACAAAAAUUUAUGCUAUUUUGGUGGCGUGUUUGGCACCAUAUAAAUGACGCGAUCUUCGCAAAAGGUAAAGCGAAAAUUUCCCACUCUGUUCGUUUUCUGCAAAACUACCUUGCAAACAUCUGA
RNAcentral lists this ribosomal RNA (1272 nucleotides) under Triticum aestivum (bread wheat). RNAcentral's name for it is "partial small subunit ribosomal RNA". Lineage: Eukaryota; Viridiplantae; Streptophyta; Magnoliopsida; Poales; Poaceae. The record is from RNAcentral.